UGGGGAAUAUUGCACAAUGGGCGCAAGCCUGAUGCAGCCAUGCCGCGUGUAUGAAGAAGGCCUUCGGGUUGUAAAGUACUUUCAGCGGGGAGGAAGGGAGUAAAGUUAAUACCUUUGCUCAUUGACGUUACCCGCAGAAGAAGCACCGGCUAACUCCGUGCCAGCAGCCGCGGUAAUACGGAGGGUGCAAGCGUUAAUCGGAAUUACUGGGCGUAAAGCGCACGCAGGCGGUUUGUUAAGUCAGAUGUGAAAUCCCCGGGCUCAACCUGGGAACUGCAUCUGAUACUGGCAAGCGUGAGUCUCGUAGAGGGGGGUAGAAUUCCAGGUGUAGCGGGGAAAUGCGUAGAGAUCUGGAGGAAUACCGGUGGCGGAGGCGGCCCCCUGGACAAAGACUGACGCUCAGGUGCGAAAGCGUGGGGAGCAAACAGG
RNAcentral lists this ribosomal RNA (429 nucleotides) under Chloroflexota bacterium. RNAcentral describes it as "Chloroflexi bacterium partial 16S ribosomal RNA". It matches the Rfam family "Bacterial small subunit ribosomal RNA", at positions 355 to 776 of the family's 1533-position model. The record is from RNAcentral. Lineage: Bacteria; Bacillati; Chloroflexota.